RNAcentral lists this signal recognition particle RNA (148 nucleotides) under Homo sapiens (human). RNAcentral's name for it is "Metazoan signal recognition particle RNA". It matches the Rfam family "Metazoan signal recognition particle RNA". Rfam says of the family: The signal recognition particle (SRP) is a universally conserved ribonucleoprotein. It is involved in the co-translational targeting of proteins to membranes. The record is from Rfam by way of RNAcentral. Lineage: Eukaryota; Metazoa; Chordata; Mammalia; Primates; Hominidae.
GCUGGGCAUGGUGGCGCAUGCCUGUAAUCCCAGCUACUUUGGAGGCUGAGGCAGGAGAAUCGCUUGAACCCGGGAGGUGGAGGUUGCAGUGAGCUGAGAUCACGCCACUGCACUCCAGCCUGGGCAACAGAGUGAGACUCUGUCUCAA